CAUGAAGAACGCAGCGAAAUGCGAUAAGUAGUGUGAAUUGCAGAAUUCAGUGAAUCAUCGAAUCUUUGAACGCACAUUGCGCCCAUUGGUAUUCCAAUGGGCAUGCCUGUUCGAGCGUCAUUUGUACCCUCAAGCUUUGCUUGGUGUUGGGCGUUUGUCUUUCGAGACUCGCCUUAAAAAGAUUGGCAGCCGGCAUACUGGUUUCGGAGCGCAGCACAAAUUGCGGUCUGUUCCUGAAUGUUGACGUCCAUGAAGCCCCCAUUAUCACUUUUGACCUCGGAUCAGGUAGGGAUACCCGCUGAACUUAAGCAUAUCAAUAAGCGGAGGA
Molecule: unclassified non-coding RNA, 328 nt
Filed under: soil metagenome
Description: partial contains 5.8S ribosomal RNA, internal transcribed spacer 2, and large subunit ribosomal RNA
Rfam family: 5.8S ribosomal RNA (bases 2-120)
Source: RNAcentral